This 465-nucleotide ribosomal RNA is filed under the name uncultured bacterium. RNAcentral's name for it is "partial 16S ribosomal RNA". It matches the Rfam family "Bacterial small subunit ribosomal RNA", at positions 28 to 507 of the family's 1533-position model. The record is from RNAcentral.
GAUGAACGCUGGCGGCGUGCUUAACACAUGCAAGUCGAACGGAAAGGCUCCUGCUUGCCGGGGUUCUCGAGUGGCGAACGGGUGAGUAACACGUGGGUGAUCUGCCCUGCACUUCGGGAUAAGCCUGGGAAACUGGGUCUAAUACCGGAUAGGACGAUGGUUUGGAUGCCAUUGUGGAAAGUUUUUCGGUGUGGGAUGAGCUCGCGGCCUAUCAGCUUGUUGGUGGGGUAAUGGCCUACCAAGGCGUCGACGGGUAGCCGGCCUGAGAGGGUGUACGGCCACAUUGGGACUGAGAUACGGCCCAGACUCCUACGGGGGGCAGCAGUGGGGAAUAUUGCACAAUGGGCGCAAGUCUGAUGCAGCGACGCCGCGUGGGGGAUGACGGCCUUCGGGUUGUAAACUCCUUUCGCUAGGGACGAAGCGCAAGUGACGGUACCUGGAGAAGAAGCACCGGCUAACUACGUG